RNAcentral lists this ribosomal RNA (540 nucleotides) under uncultured Variovorax sp. RNAcentral describes it as "bacterial SSU rRNA". It matches the Rfam family "Bacterial small subunit ribosomal RNA", at positions 96 to 632 of the family's 1533-position model. Lineage: Bacteria; Pseudomonadati; Pseudomonadota; Betaproteobacteria; Burkholderiales; Comamonadaceae. The record is from RNAcentral.
UGGCGAACGGGUGAGUAAUACAUCGGAACGUGCCCAAUCGCGGGGGAUAACGCAGCGAAAGCUGUGCUAAUACCGCAUAAGAUCUACGGAUGAAAGCAGGGGAUCGCAAGACCUUGCGCGAAUGGAGCGGCCGAUGGCAGAUUAGGUAGUUGGUGAGGUAAAGGCUCACCAAGCCUUCGAUCUGUAGCUGGUCUGAGAGGACGACCAGCCACACUGGGACUGAGACACGGCCCAGACUCCUACGGGAGGCAGCAGUGGGGAAUUUUGGACAAUGGGCGAAAGCCUGAUCCAGCCAUGCCGCGUGCAGGAUGAAGGCCUUCGGGUUGUAAACUGCUUUUGUACGGAACGAAAAAGUCUUUUCUAAUACAGAAGGCUCAUGACGGUACCGUAAGAAUAAGCACCGGCUAACUACGUGCCAGCAGCCGCGGUAAUACGGAGGGUGCAAGCGUUGUCCGGAUUUAUUGGGUUUAAAGGGUGCGUAGGCGGCUGAUUAAGUCUGGGGUGAAAGCCCGUUGCUCAACAACGGAACUGCCCUGGAAA